RNAcentral lists this unclassified non-coding RNA (1038 nucleotides) under Hevea brasiliensis (rubber tree). The record is from RNAcentral. Lineage: Eukaryota; Viridiplantae; Streptophyta; Magnoliopsida; Malpighiales; Euphorbiaceae.
UGUUGAAAAUUGAAGAAACAAGAAGAAAUAGGAAUCAGACAUUUAUGUUGGAAUUUUAAGUUUAGUCUAAUCUAAGUAACUGAUAAGCAAGUGAUUAUGAUAUGUAAGUCCAUUUGUAAGGUUGCUUUGGCCAUUGGAAUCCACUCUUCCCUUCACAAGCUAUAGAUUCUGAGAUGUUCUUAGGUUCCUUUUUGCAGCUGCUGUUGGGGUCUAGUUAGGUGCUAACAAUUAGGACAUAUCGAUUGGAAAAAUUCAACUUCUUUAGCCUGGUUUUACCCGGAAUAAACAGUAGGGGAAAAGUUGUGUACAGAAGAUGGAUAUAAUCUUUAUUGCAUAGCUUUCUUGUGGGUAAGCUGACUUGCAAGGAUUUUAUAUAGCUAAGCUUUAUUAGGUUCUUGACUUCAAGCUGUCUGAAAAGAAGUGAACACUUGAGCACAGGGAUGGAAGGGCAUUUGACAUGGCAGUACCUCGAAAAGAAUUAUAUAGUCAGUCGGAAUAAUUAUUAAGUAAAAAUUUUUGUCCCAUGAUAUCCAUCUGAAACAAUAUUCAUGAUUGAUUGUGUUUUAAAUUUUGAGUGAAAUGUUUAUAAUUUAUUCAAUUAUGUACUUUUCUUAUUGCCCUAAAUUCUUCUUUCCAUAUUCUCUUCAUCUUGUAUUUUGAAGAUUAGCGUGCCCUUCCUGAAUCCAUGCUACAAAUUCCUAACAAACUUAAUGAUUUAACCACCUUGAUAUAUUUUGUUAGUAGGAAUCUUUCGUAGUGAUUCUUAAUGGUCUUUCUGGAAAGGGAGAAGAUUGCAAUACUCUAUUUUGGAUUACCUGGAGUAAUUGACCUGACAUGACAGGAGAAAUUGAUAAUAAGCAAGCUCAUUUGGUAAGAAAAGAGAUGGAAUUGAUAAUAAGUAAGCUCUUUUCGUAAGAAAAGAGAGAAUUGAUAAUAACUGUAGAAAAUUAAGAAUGCAAACUCUCCUAUUAUUACUGAACUGAUGUUAUCAUGACCAAUAGUCGACAGAGUAGAGGGUUGGGAUUCUCUUUUUGACUG